RNAcentral lists this ribosomal RNA (650 nucleotides) under uncultured Rhizophagus. RNAcentral describes it as "SSU rRNA". It matches the Rfam family "Eukaryotic small subunit ribosomal RNA", at positions 624 to 1276 of the family's 1831-position model. Lineage: Eukaryota; Fungi; Glomeromycota; Glomeromycetes; Glomerales; Glomeraceae. The record is from RNAcentral.
AAGCUCGUAGUUGAAUUUCGGGGUUAGUAGGUUGGUCAUGCCUCUGGUAUGUACUGGUCUCACUGAUUCCUCCUUCCUGAUGAACCGUAAUGCCGUUAAUUUGGUGUUGCGGGGAAUUUGGACUGUUACUUUGAAAAAUUAGAGUGUUUAAAGCAAGCUAACGCUUGAAUACAUUAGCAUGGAAUAAUGAAAUAGGACGUUCGAUCCUAUUUUGUUGGUUUCUAGGAUUGACGUAAUGAUUAAUAGGGAUAGUUGGGGGCAUUAGUAUUCAAUUGUCAGAGGUGAAAUUCUUGGAUUUAUUGAAGACUAACUACUGCGAAAGCAUUUGCCAAGGAUGUUUUCAUUAAUCAAGAACGAAAGUUAGGGGAUCGAAGACGAUCAGAUACCGUCGUAGUCUUAACCAUAAACUAUGCCGACUAGGGAUCGGAUGAUGUUAAUUUUUUAAUGACUCAUUCGGCGCCUUACGGGAAACCAAAGUGUUUGGGUUCCGGGGGGAGUAUGGUCGCAAGGCUGAAACUUAAAGGAAUUGACGGAAGGGCACCACCAGGGGUGGAGCCUGCGGCUUAAUUUGACUCAACACGGGGAAACUCACCAGGUCCAGACAUAGUAAGGAUUGACAGAUUGAGAGCUCUUUCUUGAUUCUAUGGGUG